Molecule: ribosomal RNA, 406 nt
Filed under: uncultured bacterium
Lineage: Bacteria
Description: partial 16S ribosomal RNA
Rfam family: Bacterial small subunit ribosomal RNA
Source: RNAcentral
AUUGAACGCUGGCGGCAGGCCUAACACAUGCAAGUCGAACGAGUGGCGGACGGGUGAGUAAUGUCUGGGAAACUGCCCGAUGGAGGGGGAUAACUACUGGAAACGGUAGCUAAUACCGCAUACCAUCGGAUGUGCCCAGAUGGGAUUAGCUUGUAGGUGAGGUAACGGCUCACCUAGGCGACGAUCCCUAGCUGGUCUGAGAGGAUGACCAGCCACACUGGAACGUAGCCACGGUCCAGACUCCUCCGGGAGGCAGCGGGGGGGAAUAUGGCACAAUGGGCUCAAGCCGGAUGCAGCCCGGCGGCGUGUAUGAAGAAGGCCUUCGGGUUGUAAAGUACUUUCAGCGGGUAUGAGUUACCCGCAGAAGAAGCACCGGCUAACUCCGUGCCAGCCGCCGCGGUAAUAC